RNAcentral lists this non-coding RNA (31 nucleotides) under Mus musculus (house mouse). Lineage: Eukaryota; Metazoa; Chordata; Mammalia; Rodentia; Muridae. The record is from RNAcentral.
UGACAGGUUAUUUCCCAAAGUGCAAAGCAGU